RNAcentral lists this unclassified non-coding RNA (394 nucleotides) under soil metagenome. RNAcentral's name for it is "partial contains 5.8S ribosomal RNA, internal transcribed spacer 2, and large subunit ribosomal RNA". The stretch from base 1 to 122 matches the Rfam family "5.8S ribosomal RNA", at positions 35 to 154 of the family's 154-position model. The record is from RNAcentral.
GAUGAAGAACGUAGUGAAAUGCGAUACUUGGUGUGAAUUGCAGAAUCCCGUGAACCAUCGAGUCUUUGAACGCAAGUUGCGCCCGAAGCCAUCAGGUUGAGGGCACGUCUGCCUGGGCGUCACAUAUCGUUGCCCAAUGCCUAUUGCAGUGCAAUAGGAAUUUCUAGGGCGAAUGAUGGCUUCCCGUGAGCGUUGUUGCCUCGCGGUUGGUUGAAAAUCGAGUCCUUGGUAGGGUGUGCCAUGGUAGAUGGUGGUCGAGUUAGAACGAUACCGAUCAUGUGCAUGCUCCCCAAAAUAUGGCCUCUAUGACCCACACGCGUCUUUUGACGCUCAUGACGAGACCUCAGGUCAGGCGGGGCUACCCGCUGAAUUUAAGCAUAUCAAUAAGCGGGGA